UCCCAUUCCUGUUAGCCAAAGGAAAAGAGGUCUGGCUGGGGUUGAAUGCAGGGGACCUGUUGGGUCCUGCCUUCCUCCACUGAAGGCUCAUUUCCUUGGGGCCUCUGCUGUAGCCUCAGCGACUGAAAGGCUGUUGGAGGACUGUUUGCAGAUUGUGUCCUGGGAUGGGUUAUCUCUUUGGCCUUGGUUGCAGUGCUGUUUUUGGCAAGCACCGGCAGGAACAGUGUGCAGAUUGUUCUAAUUUGUGCUGGGGACUCUGCGUGUCUCUACGAAUGAGGUGCAUCUUUGAACACUCCCUCUACUGAACUGAGUGCUUCUGGUUUGCAUUUCUUCAAGUAUGUGGGACCAGGACUGAACCUACGAAGAUUGUGGAGCUUCCAAAAUUGCUUCAGGACUAUCCAAGCCGACUUUAUGAAGCAUUGAAGUUUUGUGUCGCUCUGUGGGCUGUGCAGAAUCAGAGGCUAACUUCAGCAGGGUUUGCUUUUUGAUCCAGUAAUACAAUAGAAGGUAUAGGCCCUGCUAUGGAGACCUGACUCUGUAACACUCUGUGGAAGAUGCCCAACCUUGGAAAAGAGAAGAAUUAGGUGCCUUAUUCCCAAGGCUGUGGCUUGUCUGCAGUGCAAUCGCUCCAGGCAUUCGCUGUUAGCUGCAGUGCAGUGAGCUCUCUGAAAAAUACCUCAUCUGAAGAACAGCCACUCUAGACACUUCUUAAUUUUUUUUCCCGGUAUGCAUCUUAUUCUAAUCUUCUCCCCUCAGAUGAGGGGAAGAUGUCUGCAAUCUCUUUUUUAGCAUUUUUCCCUCAGUUAAUCAUUUGUCUAGAGUAACUGGUGCUGCGGUAUUAUGAGACUUAGGAUAAAAUCCCAAACACAAAUUUGCAAAUAUUGAGCGUCUGAUCAGAUUUUGAGUUUCAGUUGCCAGAGAUUUCCAGUGAAUCUUUCGUAUCCAAAGGCAUGAGGAUUUUGUUUGUUGUUUGUUUUUUAGUGGAAGAGCAUGGGCACGUAGAACAAACUGGAAUCAGUUCCCUCAUCCAAAUGACGGGAUAUUAGGGAAAAGCUGCAAACUCUUGGCAAGUCACUUCAGAGCUGUUCCUUCCCUACCAUCUCAUAGGAAAGU
Molecule: long non-coding RNA, 1113 nt
Organism: Nothoprocta perdicaria
Lineage: Eukaryota; Metazoa; Chordata; Aves; Tinamiformes; Tinamidae
Exons: 5
Source: RefSeq, a predicted model, not a curated record